RNAcentral lists this ribosomal RNA (1436 nucleotides) under uncultured bacterium. Its description in RNAcentral is "bacterial SSU rRNA". It matches the Rfam family "Bacterial small subunit ribosomal RNA". The record is from RNAcentral.
AGAGUUUGAUCCUGGCUCAGAACGUACGCUGGCGGCACGCCUAACACAUGCAAGUCGAACGAAGUAGCAAUACUUAGUGGCAGACGGGUGAGUAACAUGUAGGUAUCUGCCCUUUGGCCUGGAAUAACACGAGGAAACUUGUGCUAAUACCGGAUAAGUCUUUACGGAGAAAGCUUUAUGCACCAUUGGAUGAGCCUGCACUUGAUUGGUUUGUUGGUGGGGUAAUGGCCUACCAAGACUAUGAUCAAUAGCUGAUUUGAGAGGAUGAUCAGCCACAUUGGGACUGAGACACGGCCCAAACUCCUACGGGAGGCAGCAGUGGGGAAUCUUGCACAAUGGAGGAAACUCUGAUGCAGCGAUGCCGCGUGAGUGAAGAAGGCCCUUGGGUUGUAAAGCUCUUUCGUCGGGGAAGAAAAUGACUGUACCCGAAUAAGAAGGUCCGGCUAACUUCGUGCCAGCAGCCGCGGUAAUACGAAGGGACCUAGCGUAGUUCGGAAUUACUGGGCUUAAAGAGUUCGUAGGUGGUUGAAAAAGUUGGUGGUGAAAUCCCAGAGCUUAACUCUGGAACUGCCAUCAAAACUUUUCAGCUAGAGUAUGAUAGAGGAAAGCAGAAUUUCUAGUGUAGAGGUGAAAUUCGUAGAUAUUAGAAAGAAUACCAAUUGCGAAGGCAGCUUUCUGGAUCAUUACUGACACUGAGGAACGAAAGCAUGGGUAGCGAAGAGGAUUAGAUACCCUCGUAGUCCAUGCCGUAAACGAUGUGUGUUAGACGUUGGAAAUUUAUUUUCAGUGUCGCAGCGAAAGCGAUAAACACACCGCCUGGGGAGUACGACCGCAAGGUUAAAACUCAAAUGAAUUGACGGGGACCCGCACAAGUAGUGGAGCAUGUGGUUUAAUUCGAAGAUACGCGCAGAACCUUACCAACACUUGACAUGUUCGUCGCGACUUUAAGAGAUUAAAGUUUUCGGUUCGGCCGGACGAAACACAGGUGCUGCAUGGCUGUCGUCAGCUCGUGUCGUGAGAUGUUGGGUUAAGUCCCGCAACGAGCGCAACCCUCACUUUUAGUUGCCAUCAUUAAGUUGGGCACUCUGAAAGAACUGCCAGUGAUAAGCUGGAGGAAGGUGGGGAUGACGUCAAGUCCUCAUGGCCCUUACGUGUUGGGCUACACACGUGCUACAAUGGUAUCUACAACAGGAAGCAAGACGGCGACGUUAAGCAAAUCCUUAAAAGAUACCUCAGUUCGGAUUGCACUCUGCAACUCGAGUGCAUGAAGCUGGAAUUACUAGUAAUCGUGGAUCAGCGUGCCACGGUGAAUGCGUUCCCGGGUCUUGUACACACCGCCCGUCACACCAUGGGGGUUGGUUCUACCUUAAGGCAAGGUUUCAUACCCUUGACCACGGUAUAGUCAGCGACUGGGGUGAAGUCGUAACAAGGUAACC